ACUAACGAGGAUUCCCUCAGUAGCGGCGAGCGAACAGGGAGAAGCCCAGCUUGAAAAUCGCAGCGCUCCGCGAUGCGAGUUGUAGUCUGGAGAAGUGUCCUCUGCAGCGGACCCGGUCUAAGUCCUCUGGAAAGGGGCGUCAGAGAGGGUGAGAACCCCGUCGGGCCGGGACCCUGCUGCUCCACGAGGCACUGUCGACGAGUCGGGCUGUUUGGGAAUGCAGCCCUAAGUGGGAGGUAAAUUCCUUCCAAGGCUAAAUACGGGCGGGAGACCGAUAGCGAACAAGUACCGCGAGGGAAAGAUGAAAAGGACUUUGAAAAGAGAGUUAAAAAGUGCUUGAAAUUGCUGGGAGGGAAGCGAAUGGAGGCCUCGUGUGCGCCCCGGUCGGAUGCGGAACGGCGAGAGCUGGUCCGCCGCUCGACGCGGGGUGCUGGUCGGCGUGGGCUUCUUCGGCGGGAGAAAAGUCGGCCUUUUGUGGCCGGCCGAUGCCGUCGGGGAGGCUGAGGAUCCGAAGUGCGCGCUCUUCGGGGCGAGUUUUUUUUUUUUUAAAAAAAAAAAGCAUCCUGCGUGCUCGGGACGUCGGCGUUGUGGGCUUUUCAUCCGACCCGUCUUGAAACACGGACCAAGGAGUCUAACAUGCGCGCGAGUCGGUGGGCGGCAAACCCACGCGAGGCGAAAAUAACUUGAGAGGUGUGAUCUCUUCCCCCUCGCCCCCUUCGCGGGGGGCGAGCAGAGGGAGUGCAACAUCGACCGACCAUGAUCUUCUGUGAAAGGUUCGAGUGAGAGCGUGCCUGUUGGGACCCGAAAGAUGGUGAACUAUGCCUGAGCAGGGCGAAGCCAGAGGAAACUCUGGUGGAGGCUCGUAGCGAUACUGACGUGCAAAUCGUUCGUCAGACUCGGGUAUAGGGGCGAAAGACUAAUCGAACCAUCUAGUAGCUGGUUCCCUCCGAAGUUUCCCUCAGGAUAGCCGGAGCAGUCGAGGAGUUUCGUCAGGUAAAGCGAAUGAUUAGAGGCAUCGGGGGUGAAACACCCUCGACCUAUUCUCAAACUUUAAAUAGGCGAGAUCUGGAUGGGGUUGCUCGAGUGAACCCCCGGCGAUCAU
RNAcentral lists this ribosomal RNA (1102 nucleotides) under Monoclea sp. Shaw 10151. Its description in RNAcentral is "partial 26S large subunit ribosomal RNA". It matches the Rfam family "Eukaryotic large subunit ribosomal RNA", at positions 64 to 1113 of the family's 3401-position model. Lineage: Eukaryota; Viridiplantae; Streptophyta; Marchantiopsida; Marchantiales; Monocleaceae. The record is from RNAcentral.